This 1107-nucleotide unclassified non-coding RNA is filed under the name Hevea brasiliensis (rubber tree). Lineage: Eukaryota; Viridiplantae; Streptophyta; Magnoliopsida; Malpighiales; Euphorbiaceae. The record is from RNAcentral.
AAGGCAUUAGAUUCACUAAUCUACAUAUGUAUUCCUCGGCGAAAUUAUUCAUUACCCAGUUAUCUGCAGGGUUAAUUCAUGAAUGCACGUGACAUUACAACAUCGAAAAAAAAAAAGGUAGUAGCCUCAAAUGAUCCAAUUAUCUUUCCCUCAAAAUCAAUGAGUAUUGCCUGACCUAAACAAGUAGCCGUUAAUCCAAUGCCUUAACUUAUAAUAGAACACAUUAAUAAAAAAUUAGAAUCAUACCAAUUAGUUUAUGGCUUCCUUUUUACUUCCUUCACCAGCUUCAAUUAGCUGCUUAUUCUUCUCAAUUGCUGCAGCCACCUCCUUAGGCAUAUACUUCUCAUCAUGCUUAGCCAAAACCUCAGUUGCAGAGAAGUAACACUCCCCGCUCCUCGCUUUCCCUGAAACGCUCCUCGCUCCCACCUCCUUCUUUAUCUCCUCUGUGAAUGGUUUCACAAACCCUUCCACCACCACCGAAUGCCCUUCUCUGAACAAGUCGGGCAGCGAUCCCUGAUACCGGACCAAAAUAUCAGUGAUCAAAUCUGUAAUCACAAACUCCAUUUCAGGCGAAGAAGCAGGUUGAACAACGCUUCCUUCGAGAACUAAUCCACCUAAUCUGAAUUUGUUCUUUUGUGGGUUUGCUUUGUAUUUUUCCAUAGCGUCUGUUGGGGUCACAUAAAACACUAAUUGGUCUUGAAAGUUGUUUAAAACGAUCACUAUAAAACCCGCAAUGCAACUGAACGUCAAAGCAUAGGUCCAUUUGGAGUUGACGGGCUCGGGCCCCUAUGUCCACUGUCUUCGAGCGGGCAGGGUGGCGUCGGGGGGUGGAGAAGAAUCGGAGACCGGUGAGCGAGGGAAAUUCCAUAGAGAUUGUACGGAGAUCUGAGAGAGGGGAGAGAAUCGAGCAUUCAGAUUUCAUGGUAGAAAGGAAUGGAGAAGCAGAGUAGAACAACCUGUUGGUGAUAGUCGUGGUGUUGGUGCGGAGGCGGUGGAAUCUGAGGCGAAAGAGAGAGGAGCGAAAAGCCAUCUUUGUUUCUCGCGAACGUUAUGGAAAGUUUUGAGCAAAUGUGGGAAAAGUAGGAGUUUUUCUGUGGGGUUUACCUU